UUCUAGCUCUCUCUCUCUCUCUCUUCCCAUGUUGUUUGAUUUGUCUUAAUCCACGCGCCAUUUGCUCUCUCUCUUUCACUUUCGUUUGUUCAUUAUACAGUUAUACUACACCAUUUUGUUUCACACUCUCUCUUUGAACAAAAACCCAGUUGGCUUUUCAAAAAAAAAAAAAAAAAACCCAGUUGGAGUUUUUAUAGUUUCAAACCGCCAGAUCUGUCUCUACAGUGCUAGGAAAAUGGGGUUAAUCUCCAGAAAGAUUUUCCCAGCAUGUGAGAGCAUGUGUGUUUGUUGUCCUGCUUUGAGAUCAAGCUCUCGACAACCCGUUAAGCGUUACAAAAAACUGCUUGCAGAGAUCUUUCCUAAGUCUCUUGAUGGCCCUCCAAAUGAAAGAAAAAUUGUUAAGUUAUGUGAAUAUGCUGCAAAAAACCCGGUUCGGAUCCCUAAGAUAGCGAAGUAUCUUGAAGAAAGGUGCUACAAAGAACUGCGAGUUGAACACAUCAAGUUCAUCAAUAUUGUUACGGAGGCCUACAAUAAGUUGCUUUGUAUUUGUAAGAAACAGAUGGCAUAUUUUGCUGUUAGUCUGCUGAAUGUGGUUACUGAACUUUUGGAUAACUCUAAGCAAGAUGCUAUGCGUAUACUUGGAUGCCAAACCUUAACAAGGUUCAUCUACAGUCAGGCAGAUGGCACUUACGCACAUAACAUUGAAAAGUUGGUUCGAAAAGUAUGCGCUCUGGCUCGUGAGAAAGGGGAAGAACAUCAAAGCCCCUGCUUAAGGGCAUCAAGCUUGCAGUGCCUAUCAGCCAUGGUGUGGUUUAUGGCACAGUUCUCACAUAUUUUUGCGGAUUUUGAUGAGAUUGUACAUGUCACUUUAGAUAACUAUGAGCCUGAUACUCAUAAUGACGGUGAUGUUGAGAGAGGGGAGCCACAUCAUAAUUGGGUGGAUGAAGUUGUUAGAUGUGAGGGCAGAGGUGGUGCAGUUGCAAGUUGUGAUACUAGCCCUAGCUGCAUGAACUUGAGGCCAAGACCAGAAAAGAAGGAUCCUUCUCUUUUGACAAGAGAGGAGAUUGAGAUGCCAAAAGUAUGGGCACAAAUAUGCAUCCAAAGAAUGGCUGAAUUAGCCAAGGAGAGUUCAACAAUGCGCAGGGUACUUGAUCCGAUGUUUGGUUAUUUUGAUUCUGGACGUCACUGGGUGCCUCAGCAGGGGCUGGCUAUAAUGGUUUUGUCCGAUGUGUUGUAUUUCAUGGACAGUUCAGGGAAUCAGCAGUUGAUUUUAGCUUCUUUGAUCCGUCAUCUAGACCACAAAAAUGUUGCACAUGAUCCACAGCUCAAGUCUUAUGUCAUUCAAGUGGCUACUGCUUUAGCUAGGCAAAUUAGAUCAGGAGUUGUGCUGGCAGAAAUUGGAUUUGUCUGUGACCUAUGCAGGCAUCUGAGAAAAAGUCUUCAAGCCACAGUUGAAUCAGUUGGUGAGCAAGAGUCAAACUCGAAUAUAUUACUGCAGAAUUCCAUUGAAGGCUGUCUGCUUGAAAUUGCAAAAGGGAUUGGUGAUGCACGGCCGCUAUUUGACCUGAUGGCUAUAACCCUGGAGAAGUUGCCAUCUGCAGCUGUUGCCAGGGCAACCAUUGGAUCAUUAAUGAUUCUUGCUCAUGUGAUCUCAGUGGCAUCAGUCUCUUCACGGUCUCAGCAGGUCUUUCCAGAAACCCUUCUUAUCCAAUUGUUGAAAGUGAUGUUACACCCAGAUGUUGAGGCACGAGUUGGAGCACAUCAUAUAUUUUCCGCUCUUUUAAUUCCCAGCUCUAAUCAUCCCCGACAUGAAGUUGCUUCUCUGAGAAGUGGUUUUUUAUACCAACCAAGAAGAUGGCACUCAAAUACUGCAUCUGCAUCAAUUACAGCUCUACUUGAAAAGCUCCGGAGAGAAAAAGAUGGCAUCAAAGCAGAAGAGCGUGGGAAUAGUGUUCAAGAUGAUUUUAAAGAAAGGGACAUUGCAGAAGAAGACUGGAAGCAAGGCCGUGUCCGCAAAAAUUCUCCUAACUUUUACAAAAUUAGCUCUAUUAUUGACAGGACAGCUGGGGCAACCAGCCUGUCUGAGGCUGAACCACAUAUUAUGAAGUUUAGUGAGGAUCAAGUAGCACAGUUGCUAUCUGCCUUUUGGAUGCAAGCCAAUCUUCCAGAUAAUUUACCUUCAAAUUUUGAAGCUAUAGCACAUUCUUUUGUUUUAACACUUAUUUCUUCAGGCUUAAAGAACCCAAACGACAGCCUUGUGGUCCGAUUCUUUCAGCUUCCCCUGUCUCUCAGGAAUAUAUCCUUGGAUCCUAACAAUGGGGUGUUGUCUCCAGCAUGCCAAAGAUCUAUUUUUGUAUUAUCAACAGGCAUGUUGAUGUUUGCUGCAAAGAUAUAUCACAUUCCUGAUCUGAAUGAUUUGCUCAAGUCAUUAGUUCCAUGUGAUGUUGAUCCGUAUCUGGGUCUUAGCGAUGACCUUCAAGUAUAUGUAAGGCCUCAGAUGGAUAUCAGAGGAUAUGGAUCUGUUACUGAUAAUCAACUCGCUACAUCAUUGCUCCUGGAGUUGAGGAACAAGACAUAUGAAUCUGAAAAUAUCAUAAUGGACAUUUUAGUUCAGAAUCUGUCUAGCAUUACUGAGGUGGCUGCAGAUGACCUGACUAAGCAACUGUCAGAAUCAUUCACACCUGAUGAUGCAUUCAUGUUUGGUCCACGAUCAAUACUUGAAUUCGACCACAGUCAAACAGUUUCCCAUUCCAAGGAAUCAUUGUCCUUUGAUGGGAUGACAAUUGUUAACAACGAUUUAGUCAUUUAGCUGUUCAACAGCCCAACCUGCCUCAGACCUGCCUCAGCUCAUCAAACAAUAUGUUUGUGCUACAUAACUAUUGGCCUUGCUUGUUGCUUAUGAUGCAGGAUUAUCCAACAAAUUCAUUAGUUGAGGAUGAUGCAAUAAGUGAAGCAUCUGUUGCAGACAUCUCUCGCUUCAUCCCCAGAAUGCCGCCUUCUCCAUGUGUGCCCCAUGUUAUCAGCAUUGGACAGCUUCUGGAAUCGGCACUUGAGGUAGCUGGGCAAGUGGUAGGAACGUCUGUGACUACAUCACCCCUACCAUACAAUACCAUGGCUAGCCAGUGUGAAGCGCUUGGCACAGGCACAAGGAAGAAACUCUCCAAUUGGUUGGCACAUGAAAAUCACCAAAGUAGACUAGUUGACAAAUUAUCUCCAGCGUUUCCUGCAGAUGGACACUUAGCACUCAAAAGGAUAACAAGUAUCGAUCAUCGUGCUCAGGGAGCUGUGUUGCCACAGGACCCAUGGUUGUCUAUGAGGCUGCCUCCUGCCAGCCCCUUUGACAACUUCCUCAAGGCAGCUGGGUGUUAGAAGAGAAGCCACAUUCUGUCUAUUUAGUGCUAACUAUCUUGUAAAGUCUUUUCUAGGAAGUAACUAGGAUUAGCUGCUUAACCUUUAAUUUGUACUUAUUUGUGGGCUUCAAUGCCAGCUUACCAUGUCUUCUUUGUACUUAAAUGUAGUGCUAGGAACAGCAUAGCUUGCAGAAUUCAGCUCUCUCUCUCUCUCAUAUUAUACCAUGGUCCCUAAUUUUUUUCAAAGUUUAAAAA
RNA transcript from Quercus lobata, 3605 nucleotides. RefSeq lists it as uncharacterized. Lineage: Eukaryota; Viridiplantae; Streptophyta; Magnoliopsida; Fagales; Fagaceae. The record is from RefSeq and is a predicted model, not a curated record. The transcript is spliced from 20 exons.